AAGUUUAUCUUGGUGAUGGGUGUGGAGAAUAUUCAAGCUACGAAAAUGGAAGACGAUGUUAUUAAUAUCUGGGAUAGGUGGAUGGUGAAGAAAAGAUGGCAGGAUACGAGGCAUAGCCUUCCUGAAUUGGCCGCGUGCUGGUGGACUAUGUGGAAGGAGGUGGAUGGUGAAGAAAAGAUGGCAGGAUACGAGGCAUAGCCUUCCUGAAUUGGCCGCGUGCUGGUGGACUAUGUGGAAGGCUAGAAACGAUAUGAUCUUUCGAAACAUCCAAUUAGAUCCACUAGUAACGGUGUACAGAUUUAAGGAGCUGCUGAAAUCCUGGGAGCUGUGUGCAUAAAUUGCUAGACGUCCUACCAUAGCCGUUGUUUUUUUUUUUUUUUUUUUUUUUUUCGUGCCCCUCCUUCGAGGCCCCGACUGCCUCACCCAUGUAGCCUAAUUCAUAUUUUCAAUGAAUGAAGUAGAUAGCGUGCUACCUUUUCUCAAAAAAAUGUACAUUAUAAUACGUACAAUUUCUCAGGAUA
RNAcentral lists this long non-coding RNA (521 nucleotides) under Ananas comosus (pineapple). Its description in RNAcentral is "long non-coding RNA (ACOM_LNC022780)". Lineage: Eukaryota; Viridiplantae; Streptophyta; Magnoliopsida; Poales; Bromeliaceae. The record is from RNAcentral.